AUGAUGCCGACGAUGAGAAAACCAAAGGAGCUCAAAUCUCCAGGUAUUUCCGCUUAUUCAAUUUUUUGCUUUAAUCCACAUCCUUCUUAUUUCAUCGCUUUUUUGAAUUUAUGCGUGCUUAUUGUUGUUGAUGCAGUAAUUGGUGAGGCGGUAGCUGUGAACACAAGAUUGAGGAUGAUGAUAAUAAAUAAACAAUGA
Molecule: non-coding RNA, 198 nt
Organism: Vicia faba (fava bean)
Lineage: Eukaryota; Viridiplantae; Streptophyta; Magnoliopsida; Fabales; Fabaceae
Source: the annotation of a GenBank genome assembly